RNAcentral lists this ribosomal RNA (1339 nucleotides) under Arthrobacter ramosus. Its description in RNAcentral is "16S ribosomal RNA". It matches the Rfam family "Bacterial small subunit ribosomal RNA", at positions 90 to 1437 of the family's 1533-position model. Lineage: Bacteria; Bacillati; Actinomycetota; Actinomycetes; Micrococcales; Micrococcaceae. The record is from RNAcentral.
GAUUAGUGGCGAACGGGUGAGUAACACGUGAGUAACCUGCCCUUAACUCUGGGAUAAGCCUGGGAAACUGGGUCUAAUACCGGAUAUGACUCCUCAUCGCAUGGUGGGGGGUGGAAAGCUUUAUUGUGGUUUUGGAUGGACUCCCGGCCUAUCACCUUGUUGGUGAGGUAAUGGCUCACCAAGGCGACAACGGGUAGCCGGCCUGAAAGGGUGACCGGCCACACUGGGACUGAGACACGGCCCAAACUCCUACGGGAGGCAGCAGUGGGGAAUAUUGCACAAUGGGCGCAAGCCUGAUGCAGCGACCCCCCGUGAGGGAUGACGGCCUUCGGGUUGUAAACCUCUUUCAGUAGGGAAAAAGCGAAAUUGACGGUACCUGCAAAAAAAGCGCCGGCUAACUACGUGCCAGCAGCCGCGGUAAUACGUAGGGCGCAAGCGUUAUCCGGAAUUAUUGGGCGUAAAAAGCUCGUAGGCGGUUUGUCCCGUCUGCCCUGAAAGUCCGGGGCUCAACUCCGGAUCUGCGGUGGGUACGGGCARACUARAGUGAUGUAGGGGAGACUGGAAUUCCUGGUGUAKCGGUGAAAUGCGCARAUAUCAGGAGGAACACCGAUGGCGAAGGCAGGUCUCUGGGCAUUAACUGACGCUGAGGAGCGAAAGCAUGGGGAGCGAACAGGAUWMGAUACCCUGGUAGUCCWUGCCGUAAACGUUGGGCACUAGGUGUGGGGGAYAUUCCACGUUUUCCGCGCCGUAGCUAACGCAUUAAGUGCCCCGCCUGGGGGAGUACGGSCGCAAGGYUAAAACUCAAAGGAAUUGACGGGGGCCCGCACAAGCGGCGGAGCAUGCGGAUUAAUUCGAUGCAACGCGAAGAACCUUACCAAGGCUUGACAUGGACCGGAUCGCUGCAGAAAUGUGGUUUCCCCUUUGGGGCCGGUUCACAGGUGGUGCAUGGUUGUCGUCAGCUCGUGUCGUGAGAUGUUGGGUUAAGUCCCGCAACGAGCGCAACCCUCGUUCCAUGUUGCCAGCGCGUAAUGGCGGGGACUCAUGGGAGACUGCCGGGGUCAACUCGGAGGAAGGUGGGGACGACGUCAAAUCAUCAUGCCCCUUAUGUCUUGGGCUUCACGCAUGCUACAAUGGCCGGUACAAAGGGUUGCGAUACUGUGAGGUGGAGCUAAUCCCAAAAAGCCGGUCUCAGUUCGGAUUGGGGUCUGCAACUCGACCCCAUGAAGUCGGAGUCGCUAGUAAUCGCAGAUCAGCAACGCUGCGGUGAAUACGUUCCCGGGCCUUGUACACACCGCCCGUCAAGUCACGAAAGUUGGUAACACCCGAAGCCGGUGGCCUA